CCCCUAGUAACUGCGAGUGAAGCGGGAAAAGCUCAAAUUUAAAAUCUGGCGGCUUUUGGCUGUCCGAGUUGUACUCUGGAGAAGUGCUUUCCGCGCUGGACCGUGUACAACUCUCUUGGAACAGAGCGUCAUAGAGGGUGAGAAUCCCGUCUUUGACACGGACUACCAGUGCUUUGUGAUGCGCUCUCAAAGAGUCGAGUUGUUUGGGAAUGCAGCUCAAAAUGGGUGGUAAAUUCCAUCUAAAGCUAAAUAUUGGCGAGAGACCGAUAGCGAACAAGUACCGUGAGGGAAAGAUGAAAAGCACUUUGGAAAGAGAGUUAAACAGUACGUGAAAUUGCUGAAAGGGAAACGCUUGAAGUCAGUCGCGUUGUCCAGAACUCACCCUUGCUUUUGCUUGGUGCACUUUCUGGUUGACGGGCCACCAUCAAUUUUGAUUGUUGGAUAAAGGCUGGGGGAAUGUGGCACCUUCGGGUGUGUUAUAGCCCUCGGUCACAUACAACAGUUGGGAUUGAGGAUCUCACCACGCCUUUAUGGUCGGCGUUCGCCCACGUUCGUGCUUAGGAUGCUGGCAUAAUGGCUUUAAACGACCCGUCUUGAAACACGGACCAAGGAGUCUAACAUGCCUGCGAGUGUUUGGGUGGAAAACCCGAGCGCGUAAUGAAAGUGAAAGUUGAGAUCCCUGUCAUGGGGAGCAUCGACGCCCGGACCUGACCUUCUGUGACGGCUCCGCGGUAGAGCAUGUAUGUUGGGACCCGAAAGAUGGUGAACUAUGCCUGAAUAGGGUGAAGCCAGAGGAAACUCUGGUGGAGGCUCGUAGCGAUUCUGACGUGCAAAUCGAUCGUCAAAUUUGGGUAUAGGGGCGAAAGACUAAUCGAACCAUC
RNAcentral lists this ribosomal RNA (881 nucleotides) under Adustoporia sinuosa. RNAcentral describes it as "partial large subunit ribosomal RNA". It matches the Rfam family "Eukaryotic large subunit ribosomal RNA", at positions 77 to 944 of the family's 3401-position model. The record is from RNAcentral. Lineage: Eukaryota; Fungi; Basidiomycota; Agaricomycetes; Polyporales; Adustoporiaceae.